UGGGCCCUGAUAUUCUGCUUUUAUCUGUUGGCAUACCAAACAUCUGGAUACAAAUUUAGCUAUUUCCCUCUUUAUGCCCUUCCACCAAUAGCUUUGUUUGACAGUUUGAAACAUUUUGGUAUUGCCUCGAUGCAUGACAUAGGUUGAACAGUGAGCUUCUUCCAUUAUCUGAUUCUUAAGAUUUCUUACUUUCGAAACACAAACUUGAUAUCCAUACAUCAAGGUGCCAUCCUCUUUGAUUGUGAAGUUUGGUCGAAGUCCAUUUUGAAUAGC
This 273-nucleotide long non-coding RNA is filed under the name Elaeis guineensis (African oil palm). RNAcentral's name for it is "long non-coding RNA (EGUI_LNC041841)". Lineage: Eukaryota; Viridiplantae; Streptophyta; Magnoliopsida; Arecales; Arecaceae. The record is from RNAcentral.